UUGAUGAUAAGGUUUACAGUCUUUCUUUCCUUUCCUUUUUUUUUUUUUUUUUUUUUUGUUGUUGUUGUUGAGACAGGAUCUCGCUCUGUCACCCAGACUGGAGUGCAGUGGCACGAUCACAGUGCCUCAACCUCCCAACUAGCUAGGACUAUUAUUGGGCGUGCUAAUUUAAAAAGAAAUUUUGCAGAGACAGGGUCUCGCUAUGUUGCCUAGGCUCAUCUUGAACUCCUGGUCUCAAGCAACCUCUCCACUCGGCUUCUUAAAGUGUUGGGAUUACAGGCAUGAACCACUGCACCUAGACCAGCCUUUUUUCUACGAAUAAAAUGCCCUGAGAAGUCCCUGAGCACUUGCCUCCUCCACCUCCCCUGAGCUGAAAUCCCAGCACCCCACUGAUGGUUAUGCAGUCCCCCUGCAACUUCUCCGGCGCCACCUACCGGUGCAGCUUGGGUGGCUUGCAAGCUGCAGUGAUCACCAUCCCGGCCCUGCUCUCCUCAUCCACUCUGCUGGUCAUCAGCUGUAUAAAUGGAAAACGUGCCGCCGGCGGUCCCAGGUCACCUGCCCCAGCCCACCAUCCCCAUGAGGGGCCCAGGUAAGCCAUUCAAGGUCCACGAUGACAGGGAAGAUCCACUGCUCUUUUACUCUUGGUCUUAUUGUGCAAAACACCCAGGAAAGGCCCUAUCAGAUCUGUAUUGCCCAAAGGUGUGACAUUUAAGAGUGACAUUAAAAGGAGAAACUCUCCUUCCUCUCUUGAGGCGAGAGGGACAAUGUGCUUAGCUGGAUAAAGCCUCGCAGAGGCCAUGAGCACUGUCUUUGGCCUCACAGCCUCCGUUGCCCUUGUCCAGGAUCUGUUGGAUGUUACUCACCAAGCCCAUGGGUCAAGGAAGGUCCAUUCUGCUGCCCUGUAACUGUAACUGUAAGUGACUAUGGGCCAAGGCUGCCCUCGACCCCACAGUGUCUCUCUCCUGACCCACUGGGCCUGAUGGGGCCUCCGCAGGGAACCUUACCAAGGAGCACAAAGCCUCCUCCAAGGAGUGCACUCCUGGUUUCACCCCAGCUGAGGUGUGGCUUAUCACAUUAUCCAGGGCUUGCAGCCCUUAGAAUUUUCCACUUCUCCCAUCUUAAAACAUUCCCCCAUGCUUUUCUGAAGUAUUGGAGUUACAGGAGGUGCCUCUCAUGCCGCUAAUUUUAAAAGCCCAGAAUUCUCAUCACUACCCAAGAUCUCAGGACAUCUAGUCUGACUAUGUGUCAGCCACAAGGUUCAUGGUUUCUUCCACUCAUCCAAUGACACUCAAGUGCGUGCCAUGUGCCAGGAGUGCCAGGUGGUGAGUUUAUAACAAAUGAGACCCAGAAUUAGUAAGCCAGUGGUUAGAAAAGAACAAUGACAACAGAGUAUGAGAAGUGCAUGUAUGGGAUACAGGGGUCUGUGGGAGCAUAGAGAAGGAGCAACUAACCAGUCAGGAGAGGAAGGUUAAGGGGAGCCUCCAAGAAGUGGCAUCUGAACUGAGACCAGAAGGAUGACUAGGCACUUGCUGGAAGGAAGGAGUGAAAGGAUAGUCCAGGCAGAGGGAGCAGAAAGUACAGUUUAGGGGUUGACAAACUAUGGCCCACCUCUUGGUUUUGGAAAUGAAGUUUCACAGAAACACAGCCAUGUCCAAUCACUCAUGUAUUGUCUCUGGCAGCUUUUGCUCUGCAGGGCAGAAUGAAGUAGUUGCAAAAGAAACACUAAGAAUUACAAAGCAAAAGAAGUAUUGACUAUCUGGCCCUUGACAGAAAAGGUUUGCUGACCCCUAGAGACUGGAGAGCUCAUGCUGCCUUUUAGGGAACAUAGUGGCUGGAGGGUAAGGGUGGGAAAAAAGCAGUAGGCAGCUCACAGUGCGUUCUUCCCGUAGCCAUAGCAGCUGGAUCCAGAGUAGAUACACCCUGAUUUAAACUGAGCUGAUCAGAGUCUGUCUUCUCAGAAAUUGGAAUGUGGGAUGUCAAAUUCAAAAAUGGAGCCCGGUCACAUUAAUGCCUGUGAAGCUCUGCUGCGAAGGCCCCUCGAGCCUGCUCCUUGCCCAGACUGCUCAAUCAACCAUGCCUUGAUUCAGAAGGCCCUUGCAAUCAAUUCCCCUAACAUUUAAUUUUCAUUUCCC
Long non-coding RNA from Gorilla gorilla gorilla (western lowland gorilla), 2132 nucleotides. RefSeq lists it as uncharacterized. The record is from RefSeq and is a predicted model, not a curated record. The transcript is spliced from 3 exons. NCBI's taxonomy places the organism in Eukaryota, Metazoa, Chordata, Mammalia, Primates, Hominidae.